GUGCUCGCUUCUGCAGCACAUAUACUAAAAUCAGAACGAUACAGAGAAGAUUAGCAUGGCCCCUCCUCGAGGAUGACACGCAAAACUGCCUUCUAAAUAUUU
Molecule: small nuclear RNA, 102 nt
Organism: Rattus norvegicus (Norway rat)
Lineage: Eukaryota; Metazoa; Chordata; Mammalia; Rodentia; Muridae
Source: Ensembl